CCUGCCCUUACUUGGUGUAAGAACUCGAGCUGGAUCAGUGCCACGAUCCCCAGGCUUACUCACAGGGAAGCAGCCAGUGCUGGCUGAUGGGGGAGGAAGGAAAGGAACAGUGAAAGGGCUCCUUGUAGGCAGCAGCCCUCACCAACUUGGCUUUGGAUGUAACAUGAAACCUCACUCUCAAUAUCAGAACAACUGGCAUUAUCAGUCUGAGCACCCUGGAAAACAGAGGAGCAGCAGUAUACAUCACCAGAGGCUGCAGGAGAAUACUGGAAGCAGAGGAUGGGAUCUGCCGCCUGUACCAUGCAGCAAUCAGAGCUAUCCCUACUUGUUCUUUUGAGAUAAAACACACUUUUUAAUGCUUAGAUUUUAAUUACCUUUCUACUCAAUGUACAGGCUUGUAGAGGAGCCCACCCUGUUUUGUAUUUUCUUUAAAGGAUCCAUAAGUUCAAUACAAUGAGACCUAGCUUAGUAAAGAUAAGGAAAGGUUUCCCCAGGGAUGCUGUGGCAUGAAAGAGGUUUCUGUCAUGAUAUGGUCAUUCUAACAAAGCAGAGCAAUACAUGAGGGUUUCUCACCUUUAACUUGUUGGCA
RNAcentral lists this long non-coding RNA (589 nucleotides) under Gallus gallus (chicken). RNAcentral's name for it is "long non-coding RNA NONGGAT001256". The record is from RNAcentral. Lineage: Eukaryota; Metazoa; Chordata; Aves; Galliformes; Phasianidae.